Molecule: ribosomal RNA, 461 nt
Filed under: uncultured bacterium
Lineage: Bacteria
Description: partial 16S ribosomal RNA
Rfam family: Bacterial small subunit ribosomal RNA
Source: RNAcentral
CUACGGGUUGCUCCAGUCGAGAAUCUUCCGCAAUGGACGAAAGUCUGACGGAGCGACGCCGCGUGCGGGAUGAAGGCCUUCGGGUUGUAAACCGCUGUCAGUGGGGAGGAAAUGCAUCAGGGUUCUCCCUGGUGUUUGACCGAUCCGCAGAGGAAGCGCAGGCUAAGUUCGUGCCAGCAGCCGCGGUAACACGAACUGCGCGAACGUUAUUCGGAAUCACUGGGCUUAAAGAGUUCGUAGGCGGCCUUUCAAGUCGGGUGUGAAAUCCCUCGGCUCAACCGAGGAAUUGCGCCUGAUACUGUUGGGCUUGAGGGGGAUAGGGGUGAGCGGAACUGAUGGUGGAGCGGUGAAAUGCGUUGAUAUCAUCAGGAACACCGGUGGCGAAGGCGGCUCACUGGAUCUCUUCUGACGCUGAGGAACGAAAGCUAGGGGAGCGAACGGGAUUAGAUACCCCUGUAGUC